CUGCUCAAUGAAUAUUUAAAUUGCUGUAGUAUUUUGACUAUACAAAGGUAUUGAAAUAAGGUUUUAAUUGAAUGCUAAAAGAAUGGAAUAUCAAAGAAUAACUUUCUUAAAAUUAAAAAUUGAAAUUUUUUUAAUUUGUGUAAAAACAAUUAUAUAAAUUAAAGACAAGAAGACCCUAAGAAUUUUUAAAAUUUAAAUUAACACAUUUUUGUUUUAAUUAAAUUUUAACUGGGGCGGUUAAAAAAUAUUAAAAACUUUUUAAUUUUGAAAAUGACCCAUUAUUAAUGAAAAUAUGAUAAAAUACUCUAGGGAUAACAGCGUUAUAUUUUUUGAUAGAUCAUAUUGACAAAAAAGUUUGCGACCUCGAUGUUGGAUUAGGAUACUUUUUUAAUGAAGAUAUUAAAAUAAGAAGUUUGUUCAACUUUUAAAUUCCUACAUGAUCUGAGUUUAGAC
Molecule: ribosomal RNA, 453 nt
Filed under: Rhipicephalus microplus (southern cattle tick)
Lineage: Eukaryota; Metazoa; Arthropoda; Arachnida; Ixodida; Ixodidae
Description: partial 16S ribosomal RNA
Rfam family: Bacterial large subunit ribosomal RNA (bases 311-453)
Source: RNAcentral